UACGUAGGGGGCUAGCGUUGUCCGGAAUCAUUGGGCGUAAAGAGCGUGUAGGCGGUCCGGUAAGUCCGCUGUGAAAGUCGGGGGCUCAACCCUCGAAUGCCGGUGGAUACUGUCGGGCUAGAGUGCGGAAGAGGCGAGUGGAAUUCCUGGUGUAGCGGUGAAAUGCGCAGAUAUCAGGAAGAACACCAAUGGCGAAGGCAGCUCUCUGGGACGGUACUGACACUGAGACGCGAAAGCGUGGGGAGCGAACAGG
Molecule: ribosomal RNA, 253 nt
Filed under: uncultured bacterium
Lineage: Bacteria
Description: partial 16S ribosomal RNA
Rfam family: Bacterial small subunit ribosomal RNA
Source: RNAcentral